GCAGCAGGUCGGUCUGUCGCUGCAAACUGUCGUUUGCAGAGGAAAGUCCGGACUACAAAGAGCAACGUGCUUCCUAACGGGAAGAUACUCGUGAGGGUAUUUCAGCGUAACAGAAAAUAACCGUUCCGGCUUGCCGGAAUAAGGGUGAAAAGGUGAGGUAAGAGCUCACCGGUUCCGGUGGUGACAUCGGAAGCCGUACGUCACACGUGUUGCAAGACCAUGUAUACCCCGGUUUCUUUAUAGAAGCAGGGUUGCUCGCCCUGUUGAUUCCAGCCGGGGAGGGUAGGUCGCUGGAGAUUGUGGGUGACUGCAAUCCUAGAUAAAUGACAGACACUGUUAAUCAGUACAGAAUCCGGCUUACAGACUUGCUGCUUUU
Alkalitalea saponilacus is the source of this 376-nucleotide non-coding RNA. NCBI's taxonomy places the organism in Bacteria, Pseudomonadati, Bacteroidota, Bacteroidia, Marinilabiliales, Marinilabiliaceae. The record is from Rfam.